GCAAUGCGAUAAGUAAUGUGAAUUGCAGAAUUCAGUGAAUCAUCGAAUCUUUGAACGCACCUUGCGCUCCUUGGUAUUCCUUGGAGCAUGCCUGUUUGAGUAUCAUGAAAUCUUCAAAGUAAAUCUUUUGUUAACUCAAUUGGUUUCUACUUUGGUAUUGGAGGUCUUUGCAGCUUCACACCUGCUCCUCUUUGUUCAUUAGCUGGAUCUCAGUGUUAUGCUUGGUUCCACUCGGCGUGAUAAGUUAUCUAUCGCUGAGGACACUGUAAAAGGUGGCCAAGGUAAAUGCAGAUGAACCGCUUCUAAUAGUCCAUUGACUUGGACAAUACUUUUAUGAUCUGAUCUCAAAUCAGGUAGGACUACCCGCUGAACUUAAGC
This 378-nucleotide unclassified non-coding RNA is filed under the name plant metagenome. RNAcentral describes it as "partial contains 5.8S ribosomal RNA, internal transcribed spacer 2, and large subunit ribosomal RNA". The stretch from base 1 to 105 matches the Rfam family "5.8S ribosomal RNA", at positions 50 to 154 of the family's 154-position model. The record is from RNAcentral.